GAGCAACUGCUGGGAUGCUGUUAUAUCUGCUCCACAACCGGAGAGAAACAGCCGAUUGUAGGAGGAAUGGAGGCGGCGGAGCGGGUGGGGAAGAUUCACAAACACCCAGUGGAGGCCUCAAACCCCAAAGGGAACUCCCGGUCCCGCGGUCACACCGAGCGGGUCGGCGGCUGUUUAUCGGGUCUUAGAAAGGAAGGAUCUGGAGAUGUGCACUGAAACUAAGCAUCUUGGCUGAGUCAACUGGUUAUCCAGAACCUGAAUACCAUCGACCUUUGAAGGUGGAAGGGAAAAUGUUCGUCUGUUUUGUCUCCAAGAAAAUAAUUGAAAUAUAAAUGUGACUGGACAAGCAUCAAGACACAUAUACCCGAGUGAGAAUGUUUCAGCACACUGACUGUGGAAGGAGCUUUAACCAGUUACACAGCCUGGACAAACAUCACACCAUUCACAGCAGAGAGAAACUGUCACCUGUUCUGUGUGUGGACAAGGUUCCAAUUGAUCGGCUCAACUGUAGAAACACAAAGACAUUGGCACCAUGGAAAAACCUUGGAAAUGUGAGGACUGUGGUAAAGGAUUCAUUUAUCCAUCCCGGCUGGAAUACCAUCGACGCAGUCACACUGGGGAGAGGCCGUUCACCUGCUCCAAGUGUGGGAUGGGAUUCACUCAGAAAACCUCCCUGAUGUUACACCAGAGAAUUCACACUGAGGAGAGGCCCUUCAGCUGCACUUACUGUGGGAAGAGGUUCAGGUAUUCAUCCACCCUCACUACACACCAGCGAGUUCACACCGGGGAGAGACCGUUCACCUGCUCUGUGUGUGGGAAGGGAUUCACUCAGUCAGCCAGCCUGCUGAAUCACCAGCGCAUUCACACUGGGGAAAAGCCGUUCACCUGCUCUGUGUGUGGGGAAGGUUUCACAUCAGCAAAUUCAUACUGAGGAGAAGCCUUUCAGCUGCACCUGUUGUGGAAAGAGUUUCGGGCAUUCAUCCACACUCGCUGUACACCAACGUACUCACACUGGGGAGAGACCGUUCAUCUGUUCUGUGUGUGGGAAGGGAUUCACUCAGUCAUUUGACCUGGUUAGACACCAGCGGCUUCACACUGGGGAGAGACCAUUCACCUGCUCCGUUUGUGGGAAGGGAUUUGCUCGAUUAUUCAGCCUCCAGUUACACCAACGAAUUCAUACUGAGGAGAGUCCAUUCAGGUGCAGUACCUGUGGAAAGAGUUUCAGACAGUCAUCUGUCCUCAUUGAACACCAGCGAAUCCACACUGAGGAGAAGCCAUUCAGCUGCACUUCCUGUGGAAAGAGGUUCAAGCAUUCUUCUGCCCUCACUGUACACCAGCGCACUCACACUGGGGAAAGGCCAUUCACCUGUUCUGUGUGUGGGAAAAAAUUUGCUCAGUCAUUUGAUCUGGUGAGACACCAGCGAAUUCACACUGGGGAGAGACCGUUCACCUGCUCCGAGUGUGGGAAGGGAUUUGCUCGGUUAUCUGGCCUUCAGUCACACCAGCGAAUUCACACUGAGAAGAGCCCAUUCAGCUGAAAUAUCUGUGGAAAGAGUUUCAGACAGUCAUCUAAGCUGACUGUACUCCAGCGAAUUCACAUUGAGGAGAGACCAUUCACCUGCUCCGUGUGUGGAAAGGGAUUCACAAGGUCCUCCAAACUGCGGACUCACCAGUGAAUUCAUAAAUAACUGUGGGGUUGGAUUCUGCUACUGUUAAUUACGUCCAGGAUUGAUAGACAAUAAUUAGGUUUGUUCCUGCUGAUGUUAACAGCCGUAUAACUGGCUGGAGUUUAAUAUUCUGAAUCAGUCACUGAUUUUCUGGACUGCAGUGCCCCUUUUUAAAAGCACCAUCUGUGAUAUUACCCCUUAAUUCAAGAACUCAUGACAGGAAUGCAUUUAUAAUAAAACUAUUAACUUUUACUUCAAUCCUAAAUUGAUCUUUGGUACGAACUCUACAAUUCAGUGUCUGAGAUUUUCCACUGAUUAACAUCUCCAAUUAGAAAGUACUGAUUAAUCCUUGCUGACAAUUCUUACUGAUUUGCAUAUUCUUUACAGUGACACCUCCGUGUGUAAUUAAACUAUCAAGGAAGAUGAACAAAAUAGUGAAAUAUUUUACAGGCUCAUCAAUAAAAGCUUCAUCAGUCAACAUUGAUAUUGCUGAAUCUUGGAAGUGGCUGAGUUCAAUCAUUUCUGACACAGCAGCAGCAACAUUUGGGAAAGGUGGAACCCACAACAAAGUCUGGUUUGAGACCUACUCAGCAGAGAUGAAUCUGUCAUUGAAGCAAAAAGCAAAGCCUGCCUGAUUACAACAUAAACCCAACAGCUAGAACACUGUGUAACUUGAAAGUAGCUGAGACAGUUGUGUAAAAGACAGGGAGAUACUGUGUAAAUAAACACUGGAUCAGACCAGAUCAUGAAAUCCAAACUGCCUGUGACAAUGGAAAUCUACGUGCUGUGUAUGAUGGGAUCAGGAGGGCGCUUGGUCCGACCAUCACCAAAGUUACCCCCUGAAAUCAGCAGAUGGUGAUGUACUCACCCACAGAAGUAAACAGAUGUCCCACUGGGUUGAACUUUACUGUGAGUGUACUCCUGUGAGAAGGACAUCUCCCAAUCUCAGUUGACUCUCUCCUGCAGCUUCCUGUCAUGGUUGAGUUGGAUGAGGAUCCUCAUCAUUUGAGCUCAAAAAGGCCAUUAAUUGCUUAGCAAGCAGAAAGACACCCAGCAAGGAUGGAAUUCCAGCUGAACUGCUCAAGCCCAGAAAGUCCCAUCUACUGUCACAGCUUCAUGAGUUCCUCCUUCUCUGUUGGGAUGUAGGAUCCUUUCCACACGACACGUGUGAUUGAAGAAUGAUCACAAUAUACUAAAAGAAAGGUGACAGAGGAGAUUGCAGCAACUACAGGGACAUCUCACUCCUCAGCAUCACAGGGACGACCUUCACUAGGGUCAGGCUUAAAAGACUCCAUCUACUUGCAGACCGAGUGUAUCCAGAAGCACAGUGCGGUUUCUGUGCUGGCAGAUCUACAGUGGACAUGAUCUUCUCCAUACGACAGCUACAAGAGAAGUUUACAAUUGGGAUUGAAUCUAAAAUGCUGCCAGCUUCUGUGCUGAGAAAAGUGAAAGGUUAUAAUGACUGAGUGAAAGUAAACCUUUAAUUAUGAAUCACAAUGAACUUGUACAAUUGUAAAAGGCAUCGAAAAGUUGGAUUCCCUAAAGAUAAGCUUCAGCCUUGAGGUUCUGUUCUGGAGCUCACAAGCUGUGGGAAGCUCCACCCUCUUUAACUCUUUUCAGUCUCAGAAGGUUGACGCUCCUUUUGCCUGUGAAAGUGAACUUUUUCAGUUUUAUUUUUCUUCAGUUUUAUUACCGUCAUUUGGAAAGGUGCCUGAAGGAAGAAGAAAAAAAUAAUAUUUGGGCAAAGCUGAUUAAAACACCAAGAGAAUUGGAAAAACAAAGAUUGAAAUGGGGUUUGGUGAUCCUUGAUCUGAAAAUGAAGUUACAUAAAGUUGUCACAAGUGUGCACAUUUGAGAAUGUUUCUUCAGCCCCUUUGCUAACAAGCUGAGAAGUUAACCCUUUCCACUGAUAGCAUGGUGACAAUUUAAACAAAAGGCUUUUCUUUAUAAACAUUUGGCUUCAUCCCAUUUGCUAUCAUUCAGGACAAAGUGCCUGAAAAUGGGAGAUAUGGGAGUGAUCUACAAUCUGAUUGCAAGUACCUGUACCUCUGUCUCUGAUCUACAAACACCAUAUUAUAAUCUGUAACUGGCCUGGAGUUUAUUAACAUCAGCAGAAACACUCUCCAAUGAAUAUGCUUCGGACCAGGAUGUCAUUGGGAACUAUAACCAACUGGAGCAGUUACUUGUGAACUCGCUGGUGUCUCAGCAUGUUGGAUAACAGUGAAUCUCUUCCCACACUUGGAGCAGGUGAACGGACUCUCCCCAGUGUGAACUCUCUGGUGUGUAAGCAGGUUGGAUAACUGAGUGAAUCCCUUCCCACACUCAGAGCAAGUAAACGGCCUCUUCCCAGUGUGAACUGUCUGCUGUCUCAGUAGAUGGAAUUGACGAGUGAAUCCCUUCCCACACAUGAAGCAGAUAAACGGCCUCUCCCCAAUGUGAACUCUCUGGUGUCUCUGUAGAUUGAAUUGACGUGUGAAUCCCUUCCCACAAUCGGAGCAGGUGAAGUAACUAUCCGCCGUGUGAACUCGCUUAUGUUUGAGUCGGGUGGAUGAAUGAACAAAUCCCUUUUUACACGCAUUGCAGGUAAAUGGUCUCGCCCCAGUGUGAAUUCACUUGUGUUUCAGUCGGGUGGGUGAAUCAGCCAAUCCCAUUUUACACGCAGAGCAGGUAAACGGCCUCUCCUGAGUUUGAACUUGCUCGUAUGUCCACAGGCUGGACAACUGAGUGAAUCCCUUCCCACACAUUGAACAUGUAAAUGCUCUCUCACCAGUGUGAGUGCGCUGGUGAAUUUCCAGCUGGGAUGGAUAAUUGAAACCCUUCCCACAGUCCCCACAUUUCCAUGGAUUCUCUCCAGUGUGACUGUACUUGUGUUCCGACAGGUCAGAUAUUCGGCUGAAGCCUCGUCCACACACGGAGCAUGUGUACGGUUUCUCCACAAUGUCAACGAGGCUUUUAACUUCCAUAUUCAAAAUCUGAUGAUAUUUUAGUUACAAUAAAUUGGGCAACAUCGUCAGACUCUGAUAUAAUGUUGGGUUUGAGAUUUGGGACUUCAAAUCCUGUGAAAAUAAUUCAAAACAGAAAAAAGGGAGUGAGAGUAAACCUACAAAAACACAAAGAUAGGUUGUGAAAUUGAGCUGAAUUAAUCUGGGAAUAUGUGGGGCCGGCACUGGGAAAAAAUGACCAUGAAAACUGCUGGAUUAUUGUAAAAACCCAGCUGGUUCACUCAUGACCUUCAGGGAAGGGAACUUGCCAAGUGGCCAGGGCCUACAGAAAACUCCAGCAUCUAUGGGAGAAAGAUAGAGGGAGAUGGGAGCAUCAGGGGGUGAAGGAGAUGGAUUUUAUGUAUGUAAAACUCUGUCAGCGCGUUGACAGAAUCUCCAAAACCCUCAUCCUCCACCACAUAGAAGGACCAGGGUAGAAGGUGUUUGUGAACACCAUCACCUCCAAGUUCCCCUCCAAGUCACACAUUGUCCUGACUUGUCUGACAUCCAGUAUUGGAUGAGCAGAAAUUUCCUCCAUUUAACAUUGGGAAGAUUAAAAUCAUUGUUUUCAGUCCCCACUACAAUUUUCACUCCCUAAAUAUCAAUGUCAUCCAUCUCCCUUGCAACUUAGAGUCCGAACCAGGCUGUUCACAAUCUUGGUACCAUAUUUGUAGGGGCCCCCCUUUUCCCUCAGAGACCCUCCCCACGCUAAAGCUCGGGACACCAGAUUCACAAAUAUAUGGCUUGAACAGGGUGACCAGCCAGACAGGUUUCUUCUAAUAAUUCACAAUUGCGUUAUUUAAUUGCCCACAACCCUGCAGUACAAACCCAAAAUUUAAAACAACCUAUUACCAGUACCCGACACAAAGUCACCACGACUCAGUUAAAACAUACAAAGCACAGGCAAAACACUAUGUCCUAUCCUGAAACCUUAAGAAGAAACCCUCAGACCAAUAUCACCAAGAUAGGGCUGAAGUUACAAGGUUCUGGCAAAAAGCACUAAGUUUUUUCCCCAAGCCUUCACAAAACCCUCAGACCAAUAUCACUACCAUUUGUCUGUAAAUUACAAUCCCCAACACAGCUGGUCUGUCUGAUGUUGACUGUAGGCCUGAGUCAAGGUAACCAAACUCGACCCUUUUUGCAGCUGCAGCCUAGGUACUCAAAUCUGCUCUGCUUUUAUAAUAAUUUAACUCAAAUGUAAAAAUAUAUUUACUGUUGUUCCAAUGUCCAUUUAGUUGAUUCCAUGCAAAGUCCAGACAAAUGUUCAUUAGCUCCUGCUGGUUGAAACAAUACAGGGUUUUCCGUGGAUGAUGUAUAUAGACGAAUAUUAUCAGUUUUCAUUGUAUGAGCAAUUCUCCUGCUCUUUGAGGUGGCACAGUAACAGCAACUGGCUCCAAAGCUAAUGAGGGAUUGAAUGACCCUAUUCCAAUGCUAUUUUCUGUGGUAGUUGAAUAAUUCCUUAUGUGAAUUGUAUUGAUGAUAUAUCCUUUAUUCCAUUGUAUUGGGUAAUCAGGUUUCUUGAUGGUGUUAGUCAAAGUCAGUACCCUUUUGAUAAGUCACUGUGUUUUCAUUAAAUGUCCAAAUUAACCCCUUGCUGCCCUGCCCUGUACUGCUGACUGCAGCUUACCUUUUUGAAAUUUAUAGUUUAAAUAAAGAGGCCAAAACAUGUCUGUGGGUUUGAAAUUAUCAUCCUUAA
This is a long non-coding RNA of Carcharodon carcharias (great white shark), 6344 nucleotides long. RefSeq lists it as uncharacterized. The record is from RefSeq and is a predicted model, not a curated record. The transcript has 3 exons. NCBI's taxonomy places the organism in Eukaryota, Metazoa, Chordata, Chondrichthyes, Lamniformes, Lamnidae.